Molecule: ribosomal RNA, 387 nt
Filed under: Triticum aestivum (bread wheat)
Lineage: Eukaryota; Viridiplantae; Streptophyta; Magnoliopsida; Poales; Poaceae
Description: partial small subunit ribosomal RNA
Source: RNAcentral
AUGCCCUUUCCACCUAAGUCAACUAAAAAGAAAGAUGAUGAAGAAUUUGAACGCUUUGCUGAAAUGAUUAGGACGGUCUUUUUGCGAACUCGCUUGACUAAUAUCUUGAAAAUGCCUCCUUAUGCAAAGUUUAUGAAAUACAUCAUCACUAAUAAGAGAAAAAUACCGAAAGCUGAAAUCUCCACUAUGCUUGCUAAUUACACUUUUAAAGAUGCAGUACCUAAAAAACUUGGAGAUCCAGGAAUACCAACUAUACCUUGCUCCAUUAAAAGGAAUUAUGUGAAAACUGCUUUGUGUGAUUUGGGAGCCGGUGUUAGUGUUAUGCCUUUCUUGCUAUAUAAAAGACUUGAUUUGAAUAAACUCACACCUACUGAAAUAUCUUUGUAA